Molecule: ribosomal RNA, 429 nt
Filed under: Gemmatimonadota bacterium
Lineage: Bacteria; Pseudomonadati; Gemmatimonadota
Description: Gemmatimonadetes bacterium partial 16S ribosomal RNA
Rfam family: Bacterial small subunit ribosomal RNA
Source: RNAcentral
UAGGGAAUCUUCGGCAAUGGACGAAAGUCUGACCGAGCAACGCCGCGUGAGUGAAGAAGGUUUUCGGAUCGUAAAACUCUGUUGUUAGAGAAGAACAAGGACGUUAGUAACUGAACGUCCCCUGACGGUAUCUAACCAGAAAGCCACGGCUAACUACGUGCCAGCAGCCGCGGUAAUACGUAGGUGGCAAGCGUUGUCCGGAUUUAUUGGGCGUAAAGCGAGCGCAGGCGGUUUCUUAAGUCUGAUGUGAAAGCCCCCGGCUCAACCGGGGAGGGUCAUUGGAAACUGGGAGACUUGAAUGCAGAAGAGGAGGGUGGAAUUCCGUGUGUAGCGGUGAAAUGCGUAGAUAUAUGGAGGAACACCAGUGGCGAAGGCGGCUCUCUGGUCUGUAACUGACGCUGAGGCUCGAAAGCGUGGGGAGCAAACAGG